CGGGAUGUAGGGUAACGGUUACCCACUUGCUUUGGGAGCAAGGUUAAGCAGGUUCGACUCCUGUCAUCCCGACCA
This 75-nucleotide transfer RNA is filed under the name Clostridia bacterium. RNAcentral's name for it is "tRNA-Pro". It matches the Rfam family "tRNA". From Rfam's summary of the family: Transfer RNA (tRNA) molecules are approximately 80 nucleotides in length. Their secondary structure includes four short double-helical elements and three loops (D, anti-codon, and T loops). The record is from RNAcentral. Lineage: Bacteria; Bacillati; Bacillota; Clostridia.